GGAAAGAAACCACCAGGGAUUGCCCUAGUAACGGCGAGUGAAGCGGCAACAGCUCAAAUUUGAAAUCUGGCUUCGGCCCGAGUUGUAAUUUGCAGAGGAUGUUUCUGGCGCGGUGCCUUCCGAGUUCCCUGGAACGGGACGCCACAGAGGGUGAGAGCCCCGUAUGGUUGGACACCAAGCCUGUGUGAAACUCCUUCGACGAGUCGAGUAGUUUGGGAAUGCUGCUCAAAAUGGGAGGUAAAUCUCUUCUAAAGCUAAAUACCGGCCAGAGACCGAUAGCGCACAAGUAGAGUGAUCGAAAGAUGAAAAGCACCUUGAAAAGGGGGUUAAACAGUACGUGAAAUUGUUGAAAGGGAAGCGCUUGUGACCAGACUUGUGCCGGGCGGUUCAUCCGGGGUUCUCCCCGGUGCACUCCGCCCGGCUCAGGCCAGCAUCGGUUCUCGUUGGGGGAUAAGAACGGUAGGAACGUGGCCCUCCUUCGGGUGGGUGUUAUAGCCUGCCGUACGAUACCCUGACGGGGACCGAGGUUCGCGCUCCGCAAGGAUGCUGGCGUAAUGGUCAUCAGCGACCCGUCUUGAAACACGGACCAAGGAGUCGUCCAUUAGAGCGAGCGUUUGGGUGUCAAACCCGCACGCGUAAUGAAAGUGAAAUUAGGUGAGAGCUUCGGCGCAUCAUCGACCGAUCCUGAUGUUCUCGGAUGGAUUUGAGUAAGAGUUUUAACGGACGGACCCGAAAGACAGUGAACUAUGCUUGUAUAGGGUGAAGCCAGAGGAAACUCUGGUGGAGGCUCGCAGCGGUUCUGACGUGCAAAUCGAUCGUCAAAUAUGAG
Molecule: ribosomal RNA, 829 nt
Filed under: Cryphonectria kunmingensis
Lineage: Eukaryota; Fungi; Ascomycota; Sordariomycetes; Diaporthales; Cryphonectriaceae
Description: Cryphonectria sp. LL-2022a partial large subunit ribosomal RNA
Rfam family: Eukaryotic large subunit ribosomal RNA
Source: RNAcentral